This 284-nucleotide non-coding RNA is filed under the name Ruminiclostridium cellulolyticum. Its description in RNAcentral is "Clostridium cellulolyticum T-box sequence". It matches the Rfam family "T-box leader". From Rfam's summary of the family: Uncharged tRNA acts as the effector for transcription antitermination of genes in the T-box leader family. The record is from RNAcentral. Lineage: Bacteria; Bacillati; Bacillota; Clostridia; Eubacteriales; Oscillospiraceae.
AAAAAUGCUGUGAAGGGGAAGAGUAAGUAUUUCAUCAGAUUUAAGAGAGCCGGAGGUACAUUUUAUAUGUCAGGUGGGAGCCCGGUACUGGUGUAUAUCGAAGGCAGCCCUGGAGUAGCUUUUCGAAAGCAAAUAUUUACGAAAAUAUUCUGUUAGUAGAAAAAGACGUUAGGCCACGUUACAGGCUGAUGGUGUAAGCAAUAGAUAUUUUUGUUGCCGCACUUUUUAAGGAGAAUGCUUAUGGCAUUAAUUAGGGUGGUACCGCGGAAACCUUCGUCCCUGUU